Molecule: ribosomal RNA, 374 nt
Filed under: uncultured bacterium
Lineage: Bacteria
Description: bacterial SSU rRNA
Rfam family: Archaeal small subunit ribosomal RNA
Source: RNAcentral
CAGCMCCCCGAGUGGUCGGGACGAUUAUUGGGCCUAAAGCAUCCGUAGCCGGUUUUACAAGUCCCCCGUUAAAUCCAGCUGCUUAACAGAUGGGCUGCGGAGGAUACUAUAAGACUAGGAGGCAGGAGAGGCAAGCGGUACUCAGUGGGUAGGGGUAAAAUCCGUUGAUCCAUUGAAGACCACCAGUGGCGAAGGCGGCUUGCCAGAAUGCGCUCGACGGUGAGGGAUGAAAGCUGGGGGAGCAAACCGGAUUAGAUACCCGGGUAGUCCCAGCUGUAAACGAUGCAGACUCGGUGAUGGACUAGCUUUAUGCUAGUCCAGUGCCGCAGGGAAGCCGUUAAGUCUGCCGCCUGGGUAGUACGGUCGCAAGACUG